Dama dama (fallow deer) is the source of this 870-nucleotide long non-coding RNA. RefSeq lists it as uncharacterized. The record is from RefSeq and is a predicted model, not a curated record. NCBI's taxonomy places the organism in Eukaryota, Metazoa, Chordata, Mammalia, Artiodactyla, Cervidae. The transcript has 3 exons.
UACUCCGUUCUUCAGUGCGUCAGGUACUUAUAGGGGCACCCUGGGUGGGGUCCUACUCUGCUGUUCUGAGCGUCAGGCGCUUGAUGGGCCAGCCUCUCUAUUGUUCAGCUGCCAAUGCUGGCUUGUGGGGAAAGAGAGGCUGUGGUGAUGGCUCCACCCCCUACACAUGACUCAGCACUAUCGCCUUGCUUCCACGGCUGCCUGGCCUUUCCCACAGGCAUUUUCCUCAGGCGUUUCCCACCACAAUCUCCUCCCGCCCGUCCCCUCGGUCCAUCUCUCUGCCGUCAACAGCAGCCCUCUCCCUGAGAUUGCUCCACAAACGCUACACUCCAGCUCCCGGCUGCUGCGUCUUCUAGGGAACCAGCAUCCCUGUCUGGGAUGACCUUCCCAGAUGGCUCAGCCAUAAAGAAUUUGCCUGAAAUGCAGGAGAUGUGGGUUCAGUCCCUGUCAGGUAGAUCCCCUGGAGGAGGGCAUUGUAACCCACUCCAGUAUUCUUGCCUGGAGAAUCCUGUGAAUAGAGGAGUCUAGUGGGCUACAGUCCAUAAAGUCGCAAAGAGUUGGACACAACUGAAGCAGCUGGGCGCACAUGCAGACUUCAGGUGACUCUACCGGUAAAGAAUCCACCUGCCAAUGCAGAAGACACAGAGAUAUAGGUUCGAUCUCCGGGGAAGAAAAUGGCAACCCACUCCAGUAGUCUUGUCUGGAAGAUUCCAUGGACAGAGCAGCCUGGUGGGCUACAGUCCAAAGGGUCACAAAGAGUCGGACGCGACUGAGCAACUGAGCAUGCACAAAGUGCCUUAUUUGGAAGGGCUUGUUUUUGUUUUGUUUUUACCAUUAAAAUUUUUUAAAUUUAAAUAUAGUUGAUUUACA